RNAcentral lists this ribosomal RNA (344 nucleotides) under uncultured bacterium. RNAcentral's name for it is "bacterial SSU rRNA". It matches the Rfam family "Bacterial small subunit ribosomal RNA", at positions 8 to 334 of the family's 1533-position model. The record is from RNAcentral.
AGGGUUCGAUCAUGGCUCAGGAUGAACGCUGGCGGCGUGCUUAACACAUGCAAGUCGAACGAGGAUUUAACGGAAUGCGAUUCGUCAAAUGAAAUUAAAUCCGAGUGGCGGACGGGUGAGUAACGCGUGGAUAACCUGCCUCACACAGGGGGACAACAGCCGGAAACGGCUGCUAAUACCGCAUAACAUGAGCAGCCCGCAUGGGCAGCUCACCAAAGAUUUCAUCGGUGUGAGAUGGAUCCGCGUCUGAUUAGCCAGUUGGCGGGGUAACGGCCCACCAAAGCGACGAUCAGUAGCCGACCUGAGAGGGUGACCGGCCACAUUGGGACUGAGACACGGCCCAA